AUUGCUGAUGCGUUGUCUCGUUCACAGUGGGAGAGAUUUCAGCAGGUGGCACCUGGCGCACGGGAGGAAGGGAUGUCUUGCCCGGACGAGAUGUGGCGGCUCGGGACAUCAUGCUUGGCGGACUGAUCAGGGAUUCCCUGGCACCCGCUACCUGGGCGGCAUACAGUAAGGUGUGGGGGGAAUGGGACGAACUGGUGCAGCAGACAGGGG
Molecule: non-coding RNA, 210 nt
Organism: Pelobates cultripes (western spadefoot toad)
Lineage: Eukaryota; Metazoa; Chordata; Amphibia; Anura; Pelobatidae
Source: the annotation of a GenBank genome assembly